ACAUUCAUUUGCAAGGGCAUUUAAUUUAAUUUAUUAUUUUAUUUAUUUUUGUUCUUUUAAAGUUUUGGCACUGAGAGUGUUCAUGGCUCUCUUCCUGUUUCCCCCGUCAACAACCAGUGAUGGAGCAUGGAAUUGAAUGAGUUCCUUGGUCCUGACUGAUGAAUCUGAGAGCCUGAUGAAUCUGAUAUUGCAUGGGACACAUCUCACAUGCCACCUCAGAGUCUCUUGUCAUUUCUUCCCUCUCUUGGGAUACAUCAUUCUUCUGCUUGAAGCAACCAGCCACAUGUCUCGAUAAGAAGUCAAGACUUGAUAAAUAUGAUAAAACGUUAUGGAGAUGGGUGAUGAAACCCAGAAAGUCCACUGGGAGGGUAGCUUCAGGACAAGGAUACAGAAGAAACCAUAAAGACUGAAAAUACACCGGUUUAAUGCAUGGAUCGGCACAUUAUAGCCCACAAACUGGCUGACUGUUUUUAGACACCGUCACAGACAUGCCAGGAAGCAACAUUUUACCAGCUAUCUGGACAUCCCUUAGCCCAGUCAAGUUGACAGAAAACUAACUGGCAUAGGACCCCUUCUAUCAUCUUCUAUCAAGUCAAGCAAUUAAGCUGGACACCAGAAUUGGAGCACAUGGAAGUAAUUUUGCCAAGUUCUUCUGGUGGUUUUGAGAAGUUUCAAGCCACCAAAACUUUGUUAGAUAUGAUGCCAUAAAUUAAUAAAAUCUAUCACGGUCGAUUUCAUGAA
Molecule: long non-coding RNA, 741 nt
Organism: Lynx canadensis (Canada lynx)
Lineage: Eukaryota; Metazoa; Chordata; Mammalia; Carnivora; Felidae
Exons: 4
Source: RefSeq, a predicted model, not a curated record